Long non-coding RNA from Daphnia pulex (common water flea), 412 nucleotides. RefSeq lists it as uncharacterized. NCBI's taxonomy places the organism in Eukaryota, Metazoa, Arthropoda, Branchiopoda, Diplostraca, Daphniidae. The record is from RefSeq and is a predicted model, not a curated record. The transcript is spliced from 3 exons.
UAUUGGGGUUCUAUUGUCGGUGGAGUUCUACGGUCGCCAUAACGGCGGAUUGUCCCCCCAUCCGCCAGGUGGCGCGAGUGUCUUCGUGAGGAAGAAAUAUUUGCCAUUUGUUCCGAGACGCUGACAUGAAAGUGUCUUCCAAGUCUAUUGGUGUCGAUCUACAUUUUUAGCCAUUAAAUGUAAUUGGUAGUCUGGCAUAUAAUUUCACUUGGCCAAAUGUGAUGACGUGGGUCGAAACUGCUGUGCUGUCCAUUUUGUCGAAAUGUCGGCCAUUGUUAGCUGUACGUCUCAUCUGGUGCAGAAACACUUCGGAGCUAUUGAUUUUCAGGUCGGAAGAUUGGAGAUCCCUUUGCUAAACUGUUGCAGAAAUUUAGAACACGACAAAGUCUGAGCUUCAUGGCUGUAGUAUCAU